CCUACGGGAGGCAGCAGUGGGGAAUAUUGGGCAAUGGAGGCAACUCUGACCCAGCAACGCCGCGUGAAUGAUGAAGGUCUUCGGAAUGUAAAGUUCUUUUCUAAGGGAAGAAGAAAGUGACGGUACCUUAGGAAUAAGCCUCGGCUAACUACGUGCCAGCGGCAGCGGCAAUACGUAGGAGGCAAGCGUUAUCCGGAAUGACUGGGCGUAAAGGGUGCGUAGGCGGUCGGAUAAGUUAGAGGUGAAAUCCCGAGGCUCAACCUCGGAAUUGCCUCUGAUACUGUGCGGCUAGAGAGUAGGUGCGGUAAGCGGAAUGUAUGGUGUAGCGGUGAAAUGCUUAGAGAUCGUGCAGAACACCGAUUGCGAAGGCAGCUUACCGGGCUACUUCUGACGUUGAGGCACGAAAGCGUGGGUAGCGAACAGGAUUAGAUACCCCGGUAGUC
Molecule: ribosomal RNA, 443 nt
Filed under: uncultured bacterium
Lineage: Bacteria
Description: partial 16S ribosomal RNA
Rfam family: Bacterial small subunit ribosomal RNA
Source: RNAcentral